This 945-nucleotide long non-coding RNA is filed under the name Oryza sativa (Asian cultivated rice). RNAcentral's name for it is "long non-coding RNA (OSAT_LNC001483)". The record is from RNAcentral. Lineage: Eukaryota; Viridiplantae; Streptophyta; Magnoliopsida; Poales; Poaceae.
UGUUACACCCUCACCCCCUUAAGAGAGAUCGACGCCCCCGUCGAUCAACCCUAGGCCAGGAACGUCCUCUCUUGGCCACGUCCAUGUGUCCAGUGCCAGCGCAUGUGCCAUGCUGUGUAACCACUCCCGGUCUACACCAGCCAUGCGCACCAUGCCUGCGCAACUGCGACACACGCGCCCGUGAAACCGCGAGAGUCGGCUCUGAUACCACUUUGUAACGUCCCGCCUUCCCCCAGGCCAGGCCCGCUUACAUCUGAUAGCUUUCAUAGGUCAUAGACUGCCCUCAUAGACCAACACAUGUCUUUUCUGCACACUUUGUCCUCACUCGUGUGCAUCCGGGAAGAAUUUCCCGGUCGGUCACCCAUCCCAAAUUGCCCAUGCUGUGUAACCACUCCCGGUCUACACCAGCCAUGCGCACCAUGCCUGCGCAACUGCGACACACGCGCCCGUGAAACCGCGAGAGUCGGCUCUGAUACCACUUUGUAACGUCCCGCCUUCCCCUAGGCCGGGCCUGCUUACAUCUGAUAGCUUUCAUAGGUCAUAGACUGCCCUCACAGACCAACACAUGUCUUUUCUGCACACUUUGUCCUCACUCGUGUGCAUCCGGGAAGAAUUUCCCGGUCGGUCACCCAUCCCAAAUUGCCCAUGCUGUGUAACCACUCCCGGUCUACACCAGCCAUGCGCACCAUGCCUGCGCAACUGCGACACACGCGCCCGUGAAACCGCGAGAGUCGGCUCUGAUACCACUUUGUAACGUCCCGCCUUCCCCCAGGCCGGGCCCGCUUACAUCUGAUAGCUUUCAUAGGUCAUAGACUGCCCUCACAGACCAACACAUGUCUUUUCUGCACACUUUGUCCUCACUCGUGUGCAUCCGGGAAGAAUUUUUCGGUCGGUCACCCAUCCCAAAUUGCUCCAGGCCAAGCACGCUUAACCCUGGAGUUCUUU